RNAcentral lists this transfer RNA (63 nucleotides) under Rhaetus westwoodii. RNAcentral describes it as "tRNA-Asp". The record is from RNAcentral. Lineage: Eukaryota; Metazoa; Arthropoda; Insecta; Coleoptera; Lucanidae.
AAAGGCUUAGUUAAAUCAAUAACAUUAAUUUGUCAAAUUAAAAUUACCUUACAGUAACCUUUA